This 238-nucleotide long non-coding RNA is filed under the name Suricata suricatta (meerkat). RNAcentral's name for it is "lncRNA (ENSSSUG00005007978.1)". Lineage: Eukaryota; Metazoa; Chordata; Mammalia; Carnivora; Herpestidae. The record is from RNAcentral.
GGAUUAUUUUCACAGUGGCUAUUUGCAACCAUGGCACACGGUCCUUCCUCAGGUUGCUUGAUCUCUCCUUCAGUCAAAGAGCGCUGGACUGAGGUCUGGAAACCCGCUGAGAGGCCACAAUUCUUCACGGUGCUCCUCUCCUGGCCAAUUUAGGAGAAGGAAAGAUGGUGUCCAAAUCACUGAUGGUGAGAAAGUCAAACAGAAGGCUGCCAUUUUUAAAAAUGAAGAAAGGUUAAAC